CCGGAGCUCGCGCUGCACUUCCUGAUCCCCGGUGGUCGAGGGAGAGGACUUGGGCUUUUCCGGUCACCGUGGGAGAUUUUAUACCCGGACGGGGCUGGACCCCCGGAGUCUGGGUCUUGAUUUCCCGUUCUGGGGAGCUGGGUGUGCCCGGUGUUGGGGAGGGGGGGCUACCCGCACCGCGGACCUGACCGGUGCCUGGGGUGUCCCGGCGCCAGGCGCUCUCCUAGCUCAGCCCUGUUGGGCAGACCGUGAAGAAUCGGAACUCGGUUCACACCAGUGGACAGCUGGCACGGACUGACUGGCAGGGACGUGGGCUUGAGCAUCUCGCAGGGUCGAGAGACGUCCAGCGCCUGCCCCAGCUCCGGGCCGUCCUAUCUGGCAAGUUGGUGGCUGCCAGUCACAUCAUGGUCUCCGUAGGUGGUGAUGAAGAGUUUGCCGAGGUAGAGGGGGAAUUUUGUUGAUUUAAUUUUCUUACUCUUAUGUAUUUCCUCUCACACAAAAGCAACCUUGAUUGCUUCCAGGACACAAUGGAUGAACAGGUGGUACAAGAAUAUGAAUGGAAAAACCCAGAAGAGACCUGUCAUGCUUAGGUGAUUUCCUCCCUCCCUCCCUCCCUCCUUCCUUCCUUCCUGUGCCUGGCACAGGGGACUGAAUCCAGAGGUGCUUAACCACUGAGCCACAUCCCCAGCCCGCCCCCCCCCCCACCCCGCUUUUGUUUUAUUUAGAGACAGGAUCUCAUUGAGUUGCUUAGGGCCUCACUAAGUUGCCGAGGCUGGCUUUGAACUUGCACUGGCUGUGUUUUUGUAUGACCUUCCGAAUGUUACAUUUCCCUCCCCAGAAAGUGGUUUCUUUCUACUAUGAUGGAUUUUAAAGUAUCUCCUGUAAAGGAAGAAAAAUCAUUUUCCCCUCCGUGCCCAUACGUUCUUAGGAGACAGCCCCGUAACAAAACACAGACUAAAAGAAAAAACAACAGAAGUUUAUCAACCUGUAUGUUUUCUGUGAAUGUGGGAGACACCAGGAAUUGAAAAACCAGCCUCUACCUCAGAGCAAAGCCUGUCCAAGGAAGGGACAUGACCUUUGUCCUUGGAAAGACCCAUAGAGCACUCCUAGGUACAUUCCCACCCUGCUAAGUGGUUUAAUCUACAAAUAACAGGAGAGAUCUGCUGAGCCAGGUGUCCCUGACUCAGUCAGGCUAGGUGGAGACCCAUAACAAUCCCCUAGCAGCCACCAAUCAGCAUGAGACAGGGAAAUACAUGGGAUGCUAGAUGACCCUCCCAGUAGUUUAUGGUGGUUGAUAACGUGUUGGGAAACCAUGUAGUUCAGCACGUACACCCCUCUUGGCUUAAACCAAUCAGUUCAAAUGAAUACCCCUUUUGUACUGACCAAUCAUCCUUACCCAACUUGUUCCCGCCAGUGAAUGUGCUAAUCAUGUUUUAGAGUUGUUAUUUGAUUUUCCCGUGGUGUGUGAUGAUUUGCUAAGAGAUGCUAUGAUGUAUGUGGGGGUCCCUGCCUUCUCCAAAGAAUGUAUAAAACUGCUGCAAACCCUGAGCUCGGGGCCUCUCAGCGUCACCAGUUGCUGUGUGUGCGCGUGGAGGACCAAGCUAGCUCGCAAUAAACACCUCUUUGCUGCUUAC
This 1634-nucleotide long non-coding RNA is filed under the name Marmota monax (woodchuck). Lineage: Eukaryota; Metazoa; Chordata; Mammalia; Rodentia; Sciuridae. The record is from RNAcentral.